UACGGAGGGGGCCAGCGUUGUUCGGAAUCAUUGGGCGUAAAGGGCGCGUAGGCGGCCACGCAAGUCGGAUGUGAAAUCCCUCGGCUCAACCGAGGAACUGCACCCGAAACUGCGAGGCUCGAGUCCUGGAGAGGGUAGUGGAAUUCCCAGUGUAGCGGUGAAAUGCGUAGAUACUGGGAGGAACACCGGUGGCGAAGGCGGCUACCUGGACAGGUACUGACGCUGAGGCGCGAAAGCCAGGGGAGCAAACAGG
This 253-nucleotide ribosomal RNA is filed under the name uncultured bacterium. RNAcentral describes it as "partial 16S ribosomal RNA". It matches the Rfam family "Bacterial small subunit ribosomal RNA", at positions 524 to 776 of the family's 1533-position model. The record is from RNAcentral.